This 492-nucleotide ribosomal RNA is filed under the name uncultured bacterium. Its description in RNAcentral is "partial 16S ribosomal RNA". It matches the Rfam family "Bacterial small subunit ribosomal RNA", at positions 29 to 507 of the family's 1533-position model. The record is from RNAcentral.
AGUGAACGCUGGCGGUAGGCCUAACACAUGCAAGUCGAACGGCAGCACAGUAAGAGCUUGCUCUUACGGGUGGCGAGUGGCGGACGGGUGAGGAAUACAUCGGCAUCUACUUUUUCGUGGGGGAUAACGUAGGGAAACUUACGCUAAUACCGCAUACGACCUACGGGUGAAAGCAGGGGAUCUUCGGACCUUGCGCGAUUGAAUGAGCCGAUGUCGGAUUAGCUAGUUGGCGGGGUAAAGGCCCACCAAGGCGACGAUCCGUAGCUGGUCUGAGAGGAUGAUCAGCCACACUGGAACUGAGACACGGUCCAGACUCCUACGGGAGGCAGCAGUGGGGAAUAUUGGACAAUGGGGGCAAGCCUGAUCCAGCCAUACCGCGUGGGUGAAGAAGGCCUUCGGGUUGUAAAGCCCUUUUGUUGGGAAAGAAAAGCAGCAGGUUAAUACCCCGCUGUUCUGACGGUACCCAAAGAAGAAGCACCGGCUAACUACGUG